Molecule: ribosomal RNA, 446 nt
Filed under: uncultured bacterium
Lineage: Bacteria
Description: bacterial SSU rRNA
Rfam family: Bacterial small subunit ribosomal RNA
Source: RNAcentral
CCAGACUCCUACGGGAGGCAGCAGUGGGGGAUAUUGCACAAUGGGGGGAACCCUGAUGCAGCGACGCCGCGUGGGUGAAGGAGCGUUUCGGCGCGUAAAGCCCUAUCGGCAGGGAAGAAGCAAGACGGUACCUGACUAAGAAGCCCCGGCUAACUACGUGCCAGCAGCCGCGGUAAUACGUAGGGGGCGAGCGUUAUCCGGAUUUACUGGGUGUAAAGGGAGCGUAGACGGCAAGGCAAGUCUGGAGUGAAAGCCCGUGGCUCAACCACGGGACUGCUUUGGAAACUGUGUUGCUGGAGUGCAGGAGGGGUAAGCGGAAUUCCUGGUGUAGCGGUGAAAUGCGUAGAUAUCAGGAGGAACACCGGCGGCGAAGGCGGCCUGCUGGACCGCGACUGACGUUGAGGCUCGAAAGCGUGGGGAGCAAACAGGAUUAGAUACCCGAGUAU